Long non-coding RNA from Triticum dicoccoides, 1799 nucleotides. RefSeq lists it as uncharacterized. The record is from RefSeq and is a predicted model, not a curated record. NCBI's taxonomy places the organism in Eukaryota, Viridiplantae, Streptophyta, Magnoliopsida, Poales, Poaceae. The transcript has 3 exons.
GCUCCCUCUCUCUCCCUCUCGCCGGCAUCUUGCUCCGCAUCGCCGCUCACCGCUCCCCACCACACAAAGCUGCCAUUUUUAUUUGUCGGCGACGGCUGCUGGGCGAGGAGGAGCUGGAUCCACAUGCGCUGGUCCUCGAUCUGCUUGUGGAUAGGCGUGAGGAGUCGCUGAAGCGGAGCCCAAGCGGCACCGGCGCGGGCGUGAAGACGACGGCGGGAGGAUCUGGAGCCCGAGCGGGAGGAUCUGGAGCCGCAUCUCAAGUACUCCGGCGACGCAACGGCGCUUGAUGUGGAGCCCCACCGGCGCCGCUGCCGGUGGUGGGGCACCAGUUCUGCGCGCCCUACGUGGUGCCGCUGACGGUGACCAAGAAGGCGCUCAGCCUCUCCGACGGCGACUUCGCCAUCACCGAUGCCAACGGCGCCGUCGUGCUCAAGGUCAAGGGCGCCAUCUUCAGCAUCCGGAGCUGCCGCACCAUCCACGACGGCGCUGGGAUGCCCCUCCUAACCAUGCAAGAAAAGGUGGGGUGUAGUUGAGGUCUGGGAGAUCCAUGUUCUCCAGGCAACUAAAAAGAACUUUCAAGAUUGUUUUAAAGAAGGGCUAUUGAAAAAAGAUGUGUGAGGGCAUCAGUCACUCUCAUGCCGGCAUGCCGCACUUUCAGCUAGCAGGUUGGUAUCUCAACAUUUCUCCAUUCAAGUCAUUUCCCAUAGUGUUUUUUUCGAAGCACUAACUGCAAAUUUGCAUACUAAUAAUGACCGGAGUAUUUUAUUUACAUCAAAUUAUGUCAAACAGUUUAGAUUGUUCAGUCAUACCAUAGUGUUUAAAAGUUUGGACAUUCUGAAGAUUCAAAUAAAAAUAGCCAUGUGCACAGUUUACUUGAUCAUGUCAAGUUACAGGUGAAAGAGACCCUCUUAUGGGAAUAAUGGAGUACAGAAAUGAUAGUGAGUUCCAAGUAAGGCUGAGGUAAAAUUUUCGGAGGCCAUGCUCUAUGUUUUACCACUACCCUUCUUGGUAUUCAUGCUCCUGAUAUUCAUACUCCUAUUCCUACUCAAUUUUACCUGAAAUGAGAGUAGCAAUUAUUUUUGCCCAUUAAUUCAUACUCCUACUGAUUUGGAGUACUGAUGAAACUAAGAAGUCCAAACCUGUGCUAAAUUGACAGUACAUGCUCAUUUUUUGUAUUGACAGUACAAGUCCAAACUUGUAUUGACAGUACAUGUUCUACUCAGUGUUCAUCUUUCAGUGUUCAAUAUCACUGUUCAGUUUCAGUGUUAAAUUUCAGUAUUACUCCAAGAUUGUACUACAUGCAAUUAUUCAAAUUAUUUAAGACAGAUGAUUACAUCAAGUUUAUGAUCAUCAAAUUGUUUACUCGGAUGCAGAGGGAGUAAUGGGCGAGGAGAUGAACCUAGGAGAGCAAAAUUGAGAACUCCAGCUAAAGCAGCUCCUGCCCAGCGGCGAGGACUUCAGCGGCAGCAGCACCUGUGCAUGGGGAGGAACAGCCCCUGGGCGCGCGUAGGCAGCAGCUCGCCUCCACUAGCGGUCGGCAGCAGAGCACCAGCUCGCCUCCACCAGCGGCCGGCAGUAGAUCAGCACCUCGUCUCCACCAGCGGGCGGCAGCAGAGCACCACCUGGGCGCGCGGGGGCCGGGAGGAGCCCCUGGCGUGGGAGAGGAGCGCGGGGGUGGAGGGCAGGUGGCGGAGCCGCGGAGGCGGAGGUGGAGUGCCGGGGCGGAGGUGGAGGGCGGGUGGCAGAGCCGCGGAGGCGGAGGUGGAGUGCCGGGGCGGAGGCGGAGGUGGAAGACGCUG